Spinacia oleracea (spinach) is the source of this 362-nucleotide long non-coding RNA. RefSeq lists it as uncharacterized. The transcript has 2 exons. The record is from RefSeq and is a predicted model, not a curated record. Lineage: Eukaryota; Viridiplantae; Streptophyta; Magnoliopsida; Caryophyllales; Amaranthaceae.
UCCUUCUCAAUUUUUCGGCACCGCCGCAGCAGGGAAAGAGGAGAGGAAGCUCAGAAAAUCAGAGAAGUUGCAGAGGCAGGCACAUGCGAGGUAGGAGACGACAGUAGACAUAUCGAUGGUGUGGCAGGGAUUAGACAUCCAUGGAAGAAGGAGAAAGGGAAGAUCCAUGGAAGAAAGAGAAAGGGAAGAUAAAAGGGGCGAGGAGGAAGGUUAGUGGUGGGUUGGCAGUUGAUUUUUUUUAAUAGUAAAUUAGAUUAAUUAGGAGUUAAUUAGUUUAGUUAAGAAAAAAGUUAACGGAAAAGUUAACGGAGCUGACGGAAAAUCUUCAUUAAUGGCAUAUUGUGUAUUAAGUUUAUGAAUAA